UUUUAUUUUAUUUUAUUUUAUAAAAAAAAUCAAAUUAUUUUGAAAUUUCUAAUUCUUGUAUUAAUAGGAGUAGUGUUAACCCUUAUAGUUUAUUAUUAUGAUUAUAUCAUAUAUGAUUGAAAAUUAAUUCUAUCAAAAUGAAUGAUUAAAAAUUAAUAAAAGUUUGAGAAUUUAUUUUUCUUCUUUCCUGUUUUGAUAAUUUAUUUCUCUUAAUCUUUUGGUUUCUUCUUGUUCUACAUCAAGAGGCUAUUGAAUUUUGAAUAAUGUAAUAGGAAUAGCUCUCUACCAUCACUAUCCCAACCAUCCAAGAAUAUUGAGUUGAUGUUCAUAUAGAAAAUUUAGUCUUCUUUUUAAUUACUUCUAUCACAAAACAAUCCCCGCGAAAAAAAAAGGCCUGCUCCAGUCUGUUGGGUCAUACGGUUUUCACGAUUGAACGGUGGAGAAUUUAUUUUGUUUUGGGUCUAUGAAUUAUGAAUUUGUCCUUUCGCUGUAAGCUUGAUUAUUUUGUCACAUGAUUGUGAAAUUGCAAAGCAAGCUCACUUGUAUUCCCUACAUUGUUGCAGUUAUUGACUCUGUUACUGUCGUUGUUGAAGUUACUUCACAAAACCAAAAAAUAUAUUUACGGUGUCAAAGUUUUGAUCUUUCUAUUUCUUGCUAUUGUAGACACACUAUUUUCUGUUGCUUUG
RNAcentral lists this unclassified non-coding RNA (686 nucleotides) under Hevea brasiliensis (rubber tree). Lineage: Eukaryota; Viridiplantae; Streptophyta; Magnoliopsida; Malpighiales; Euphorbiaceae. The record is from RNAcentral.